RNAcentral lists this ribosomal RNA (530 nucleotides) under Nocardia niigatensis. RNAcentral describes it as "bacterial SSU rRNA". It matches the Rfam family "Bacterial small subunit ribosomal RNA", at positions 423 to 963 of the family's 1533-position model. Lineage: Bacteria; Bacillati; Actinomycetota; Actinomycetes; Mycobacteriales; Nocardiaceae. The record is from RNAcentral.
UUGUAAACCUCUUUUGACAGGGACGAAGCGCAAGUGACGGUACCUGUAGAAGAAGCACCGGCCAACUACGUGCCAGCAGCCGCGGUAAUACGUAGGGUGCGAGCGUUGUCCGGAAUUACUGGGCGUAAAGAGCUUGUAGGCGGUCUGUCACGUCGAUUGUGAAAACUUGCAGCUCAACUGCAAGCUUGCAGUCGAUACGGGCAGACUAGAGUACUUCAGGGGAGACUGGAAUUCCUGGUGUAGCGGUGAAAUGCGCAGAUAUCAGGAGGAACACCGGUGGCGAAGGCGGGUCUCUGGGAAGUAACUGACGCUGAGAAGCGAAAGCGUGGGUAGCGAACAGGAUUAGAUACCCUGGUAGUCCACGCCGUAAACGGUGGGUACUAGGUGUGGGUUUCCUUCCACGGGAUCCGUGCCGUAGCUAACGCAUUAAGUACCCCGCCUGGGGAGUACGGCCGCAAGGCUAAAACUCAAAGGAAUUGACGGGGGCCCGCACAAGCGGCGGAGCAUGUGGAUUAAUUCGAUGCAACGCG